CAGCCGCCGCGGGAAUACGGAGGGCGCGAGCGUUACCCGGAUUUACUGGGCGUAAAGGGCGUGUAGGCGGCCUGGGGCGUCCCAUGUGAAAGGCCACGGCUCAACCGUGGAGGAGCGUGGGAUACGCUCAGGCUAGAGGGUGGGAGAGGGUGGUGGAAUUCCCGGAGUAGCGGUGAAAUGCGCAGAUACCGGGAGGAACGCCGAUGGCGAAGGCAGCCACCUGGUCCACCUCUGACGCUGAGGCGCGAAAGCGUGGGGAGCAAACCGGAUUAGAUACCCCUGUAGUCCCUGUCUCUUAUAC
This 301-nucleotide ribosomal RNA is filed under the name uncultured bacterium. RNAcentral's name for it is "partial 16S ribosomal RNA". It matches the Rfam family "Bacterial small subunit ribosomal RNA", at positions 509 to 807 of the family's 1533-position model. The record is from RNAcentral.